CGAGGGGUAGAAGGAGCUUGCUCCUUUGAGACCGGCGCACGGGUGCGUAACGCGUAUGCAAUCUACCUUUCACAGAGGGAUAGCCCAGAGAAAUUUGGAUUAAUACCUCAUAGUAUAGCAGUUUCGCAUGAAACCACUAUUAAAGUCACAACGGUGAAAGAUGAGCAUGCGUCCCAUUAGCUAGUUGGUAAGGUAACGGCUUACCAAGGCAACGAUGGGUAGGGGUCCUGAGAGGGAGAUCCCCCACACUGGUACUGAGACACGGACCAGACUCCUACGGGAGGCAGCAGUGAGGAAUAUUGGACAAUGGGCGCAAGCCUGAUCCAGCCAUGCCGCGUGCAGGAUGACGGUCCUAUGGAUUGUAAACUGCUUUUGUACAGGAAGAAACACCUCUACGUGUAGAGACUUGACGGUACUGUAAGAAUAAGGAUCGGCUAACUCCGUGCCAGCAGCCGCGGUAAUACGGAGGAUCCAAGCGUUAUCCGGAAUCAUUGGGUUUAAAGGGUCCGUAGGCGGUUUAGUAAGUCAGUGGUGAAAGCCCAUCGCUCAACGGUGGAACGGCCAUUGAUACUGCUAGACUUGAAUUAUUAGGAAGUAACUAGAAUAUGUAGUGUAGCGGUGAAAUGCUUAGAGAUUACAUGGAAUACCAAUUGCGAAGGCAGGUUACUACUAAUUGAUUGACGCUGAUGGACGAAAGCGUGGGUAGCGAAC
Molecule: ribosomal RNA, 711 nt
Filed under: uncultured bacterium
Lineage: Bacteria
Description: bacterial SSU rRNA
Rfam family: Bacterial small subunit ribosomal RNA
Source: RNAcentral